This 77-nucleotide transfer RNA is filed under the name Candidatus Omnitrophota bacterium. RNAcentral describes it as "Candidatus Omnitrophica bacterium tRNA-His". It matches the Rfam family "tRNA". From Rfam's summary of the family: Transfer RNA (tRNA) molecules are approximately 80 nucleotides in length. Their secondary structure includes four short double-helical elements and three loops (D, anti-codon, and T loops). Further hydrogen bonds mediate the characteristic L-shaped molecular structure. tRNAs have two regions of fundamental functional importance: the anti-codon, which is responsible for specific mRNA codon recognition, and the 3' end, to which the tRNAs corresponding amino acid is attached (by aminoacyl-tRNA synthetases). tRNAs cope with the degeneracy of the genetic code in two manners: having more than one tRNA (with a specific anti-codon) for a particular amino acid; and 'wobble' base-pairing, i.e. permitting non-standard base-pairing at the 3rd anti-codon position. Lineage: Bacteria; Pseudomonadati; Candidatus Omnitrophota. The record is from RNAcentral.
GUGAGCGUAGCUCAAUUGGUUAGAGCACAGGACUGUGGCUCCUGGGGUUGGGAGUUCGAUCCUCCUCGCUCACCCCG